This 38-nucleotide ribosomal RNA is filed under the name uncultured Cortinarius. RNAcentral describes it as "partial 28S ribosomal RNA". The record is from RNAcentral. Lineage: Eukaryota; Fungi; Basidiomycota; Agaricomycetes; Agaricales; Cortinariaceae.
GUGACCUCAAAUCAGGUAGGACUACCCGCUGAACAUAA